Molecule: RNA transcript, 2616 nt
Organism: Triticum aestivum (bread wheat)
Lineage: Eukaryota; Viridiplantae; Streptophyta; Magnoliopsida; Poales; Poaceae
Gene name: protein enabled homolog
Exons: 3
Source: RefSeq, a predicted model, not a curated record
AUCAUACCCGAGUUCCUGCUGCUGAAAUGGGUAGCACUGAAGCCCCAACGCCUGUGCAGGCACCUGUGUGCUCCAUUGUGAACGAAGGCCCAGCAGCUCCAGCUGCUUGCUCCAUUGUGAACGAAGCCCCAGCUCCCUGGGCCUGACCUGUGCCAAAUGGCAAGCUGCUUGUCACCUGAACAAAGGGAGAAAAGGAAGAGGGAUGGAGAUGAUGAUGCCAUGGAUGUCUCAGAAAAUGGAAAUGGCGAGAGUUCUUCAUGCAGCAAGAAACCAAUAAGAACUGAACUUAGUUUUCUACCAUAUAGCUUCGUCAUUUCCCCAUAUGAAAUGGUCCCAUAAUCUAGUGCGUAUCUGUUUCUGGUUUGAAGUUCAUCUAGCAUUUGACGUGAUAUGUUGUCAUGAUUUAGUAUACAUACAUGGUGUGCCUUACCCUGUGUCAGCAUUAUGGGAGCUAAAAUUAAGUCUGCAUCAACCUCCCAAAUGUCAUGUUCUUCAUUUGCACACAAACUACAGUAUAUGCAUUGCACAUUCCAUAAUGGACACCGCGGAGGUGGUGCUCCUGCUGCUGCCUCCUGCUCCCCGCCGCCAACUCCUCCAUGGAUGCGGUGGCUGCCUGCUGCUGCUGCUGGUGAUGGUAGUCCGGCGACGACCUGCCUUCAACUUUUGUCUCACGUACACAGAUGCUGCAGUUUUAACUGAAUAAGCAACAGAAGUGCUCAACAUCCAUCAUGCAUAACCCUGAACAUUUAUGGUCUCUAUUGAUAUGUCUUGAUAAUUCUAGUUACUUUAUAUGAAGCAAAAGUUAUCUUGCAGCCAUCUAGUCACAUCUAAGUGUAAGUUAAGCAGGCAUGUUAAGGGUAACCUGUGAACACUUGCUUAUAAGAACGAACUUGACUUACUAUAUAUACCCAAGUGAAGAUGUACUGUUACUAAUUGACUAUGGCAAUGAAUUUUAUCUAUGUGAGAUUAUAAUUUGAGUGCCAUCAUUCAUCUCAUGGUAUCUUGUUCUCGGUGAUAAUUGUUCACUGUUGAGGGCAAUACAUAUACUCUAGUUUUCAUGCAGUGCAUGUUGUUCCAUAUUUUGAGGAGAACACCACCUGGAGACCGGUGUUCUGGAGACCGGUGUUCUGAGGAGACCGUGAUGCUUAAUUUCCGUUUGUUUGAUUGCAGAGAGGCGCUGGAAGAGCACUCCCCAUGCUUGUCUUGAGGAGAACACCACCUGGGACUUGGUGGCUGACAUUGAGAAGGUCAUGUUCGUCGGAUUGCAGGGCCAGUCUGACUCACCAACCAACCUCGCCUGCUUGCUCUGUUUAUUGUGCUACACCUCUUACUGAAUUCCAGUCGCUAUAUAUGAUUGCUUACCUGUAUAUAUGUACCACUCUAUGUGUAGCAUUUUUCUAACUGUACAAUAGCACUCACUCCUCUACUGUCAAAUUGCUUGUGUGUAGUUCAUUACCAUGCUAUCCAAGGGAUAUUCAUUUAUGUGCCUGUGAAUUCGUUCUUGGUGUGUAUGUAUGUAUAUGUGCUAGCAACAUGAGUAGGAAUUAGCAUCAUGCUCGGCCUCGAUGAAUUGCAUGCAUACAUUGAUCCAGGGAGAAGUGUAUGGCUGAUACAAUGCUCUUUUUCACAAAGCUAUUAUACACUUUGGGAAAUACAGUAAUUUGUUCUUUACUAAAUGCACUGUAAGUAUGGAUGCUGAUGCAUGCAUGCAUCUAGGGUGAGUCGUACCUAGUUGUUCUUUAUGCAUCUAGGGUUUGCUACUGCUAGCCUCGCCUCGCUUUUGCUACUGCUAGCUCUAUGGAUGUUUAUUUACCUGCAACUUCUGCUAGCUCUAACUUGGUUAUAUAGCAGUUCCAUUCAUUCAAUCUAUUGGAACUAGUUUGUCUACUACUUGUAUCCAGAUUUUAUAUCCUGCCCUAUGCCAUUGUCGACUUGCUUAGGUACAUAAUUGUUAUGUCUUGCAAUCUGGUAUUGAUGAUUGUCAAUUUAUUCAUUUAUACCUUUCUAGUGUACCUUGCAUGUGACCCAGCUAGUCUGUAUAUCAAUGCUCUGUUUCCAAUAGAUGUAUGCUGAUGCCUGAUGGCUGAUUCCUUAAAACUUCACUGUUGCAGUAGCAUUUUUCCUUAGUGCUUCAAACCUUGCUCUCUUUCCCAGGAACCAUCAUCGUCUGCGUCACUACUGGGGCAGGAGAGGAAAGACUGUUGUUGUCUCCAGGAACCGAUAAACUGCUUUACAAAGAUCCCCGCAUAGCUUCACUACUACUGUGUUGGUCCAUUUCCAGAAUUGUAAGGAUAAUGCUUUUGCUUAAGGAGAGGCUCAAGAAGAUCAGGGAGCUCCGCAUCCGAGUUUCAGCCAUCCUCUACAGCAAGGAGCUCCGGUCCAAAGGAGCAACCAACGCUGCUAGUUCCUUGAGGCCAGAUCGAGUAAGAUGGCGCACCAUGGCGUGUGGUGGCGUAUUUUGCUUCUGAGAACAAUACUGUUUAUUUGAAGUGAGAUGUACUAGUCUAUGUUGUAGUGAGCUGUAGUAGGAGUGAAAUGAAAAUGUAUCUGUUAUUGUAUGUACAUUUUACUUGAACAUUAAAUUCUCCAGAAAAAAUGUUCUUAUUGGACCUGAUA